AGAGUUUGAUCAUGGCUCAGAGCGAACGCUGGCGGCAUGCUUAACACAUGCAAGUCGCACGGGCAGCUUCGGCUGUCAGUGGCGGACGGGUGAGUAACGCGUAGGUAUCUAUCCUUGGGUGGGGGACAACCGUGGGAAACUACGGCUAAUACCGCAUGAUAACUGAGGUUUAAAGGCGCAAGUCGCCUGAGGAGGAGCCUGCGUACGAUUAGCUAGUUGGUGGGGUAAAGGCCUACCAAGGCGACGAUCGUUAGCUGGUCUGAGAGGAUGAUCAGCCACAUUGGGACUGAGACACGGCCCAAACUCCUACGGGAGGCAGCAGUGGGGAAUAUUGGACAAUGGGCGCAAGCCUGAUCCAGCAAUGCCGCGUGUGUGAAGAAGGUCUUCGGAUUGUAAAGCACUUUCGGCGGGGACGAUGAUGACGGUACCCGCAGAAGAAGCCCCGGCUAACUUCGUGCCAGCAGCCGCGGUAAUACGAAGGGGGCUAGCGUUGCUCGGAAUGACUGGGCGUAAAGGGCGCGUAGGCGGAUGACACAGUCAGAUGUGAAAUUCCCGGGCUUAACCUGGGGGCUGCAUUUGAUACGUGUCGUCUGGAGUGAGGAAGAGGGUCGUGGAAUUCCCAGUGUAGAGGUGAAAUUCGUAGAUAUUGGGAAGAACACCGGUGGCGAAGGCGGCGACCUGGUCCUUGACUGACGCUGAGGCGCGAAAGCGUGGGGAGCAAACAGGAUUAGAUACCCUGGUAGUCCACGCUGUAAACGAUGUGUGCUGGAUGUUGGGCGACCUAGUCGCCCAGUGUCGUAGCUAACGCGAUAAGCACAC
This 819-nucleotide ribosomal RNA is filed under the name uncultured bacterium. Its description in RNAcentral is "bacterial SSU rRNA". It matches the Rfam family "Bacterial small subunit ribosomal RNA", at positions 8 to 869 of the family's 1533-position model. The record is from RNAcentral.